This 446-nucleotide ribosomal RNA is filed under the name uncultured bacterium. RNAcentral's name for it is "bacterial SSU rRNA". It matches the Rfam family "Bacterial small subunit ribosomal RNA", at positions 330 to 792 of the family's 1533-position model. The record is from RNAcentral.
UCCAGACUCCUACGGGAGGCAGCAGUGGGGAAUAUUGCACAAUGGGGGGAACCCUGAUGCAGCGACGCCGCGUGGGCGAGGAAGUAUUUCGGUAUGUAAAGCCCUAUCGGCAGGGAAGAAGAAAUGACGGUACCUGAAUAAGAAGCAUCGGCUAACUCCGUGCCAGCAGCCGCGGUAAUACGGAGGAUGCGAGCGUUAUCCGGAUUUAUUGGGUUUAAAGGGUGCGCAGGCGGCCUGUUAAGUCAGCGGUAAACGCCGGGGGCCCACCCCGGGCGAGCCGUUGAAACUGGCGGGCUGGAGUUGGAGAGAAGUACGCGGAAUGCGCGGUGUAGCGGUGAAAUGCUUAGAUAUCGCGCAGAACCCCGAUUGCGAAGGCAGCGUACCGGCUCCACACUGACGCUGAGGCACGAAAGCGUGGGUAUCGAACAGGAUUAGAUACCCUAGUA